Long non-coding RNA from Ruditapes philippinarum (Manila clam), 1743 nucleotides. RefSeq lists it as uncharacterized. The transcript is spliced from 2 exons. The record is from RefSeq and is a predicted model, not a curated record. NCBI's taxonomy places the organism in Eukaryota, Metazoa, Mollusca, Bivalvia, Venerida, Veneridae.
UCUUUUAUUAUAUGCCCGAAAGAAUUUCGGGCAUAUUAUGUUAUACCCCCUGGCGUCCGUCCGUCCGUCCGUCCGUCCGUUAGCAAUUUGGUUUCCGGAGCAUAACUUAAGUUCCAUUUGUCCCACAGUAUUCAAACUUCAUAGGAUGAUUGUCCAUAUUGGGUAGAAGACCCCUAUUGAUUUUGGGGUCACAAGGUCAAAGGUCAAGGUCACUAUGACCUUAAAACUGAAAACAGUUUCCGGAGCAUAACUUAAGUUCCAUUUGGCCCACAGUGUUCAAACUUCAUAGGAUGAUUGUCCAUAUUGGGUAGAAGACCCCUAUUGAUUUUGGGCUCACAAGGUCAAAGGUCAAGGUCACUAUGACCUUAAAACUGAAAACAGUUUCCGGAGCAUAACUUAAGUUCCAUUUGGCCCACAGUGUUCAAACUUCAUAGGAUGAUUGUCCAUAUUGGGUAGAAGACCCCUAUUGAUUUUGUGGUCACAAGGUCAAAGGUCAAGGUCACUAUGACCUUAAAACUGAAAACAGUUUCCGGAGCAUAACUUAAGUUCCAUUUGGCCCACAGUGUUCAAACUUCAUAGGAUGAUUGUCCAUAUUGGGUUGAAGACCCCUAUUGAUUUUGGGGUCACAAGGUCAAAGGUCAAGGUCACUAUUACCUUAGAAAUGAAAACAGUUUCCGGGGCAUAACUUAAGUUCCAUUUGGACCACAAUAUUGAAACUUCAAAGGAUGAUUGUCUUGUGAAGGAGGUAAUGAUACUUUAUUUAAUUCCCAUGUCUUACAAAUUCUUCAUCUUUACUAAAAAAAAAAAAAAAUCACUUUCGGGCAUAUAAUGCUCCGCCUAGCGGUGCUCUUGUUAGUGUUUAAACAAUCUACAAAAUAGUUUGUUAUAUGAGCCGCGUCACGACAAAACCAACAUAGUGCGUUUGCGACCAGCAUGGAUCCAGACCAGCCUGCACAUCCGCGCAGUCUGAUAAGGAUCCAUGCUGUUAGCUAUCAGUUUCUCUACUUGUAAUAGGGUUGGUAAGCGAACAGCAUGGAUCCUGAUCAGACUGCGCAGAUGUUGGUUUUGUUGUGACGCGGCUCAUAUAUAUCAUUUAUUGAAUACAGUAAGAGUUUGUCUCUGUAUUAGAGAAUACAUUUAUAUACCCAUGAAAGAGAAACAUUGUAUUUGCUAUACUUAUAUAUCUUGUUACACAUGAUUGUAUGCUUAUUUAAUGAUUUUGUCAUUUUUGAAAUAGAUGUUAACAAUAUACAGGGCUAUAUUGUACUUGUUUAAAAUGUGCAUUUUACAAACAUUUAGUCUUGUCCAAAGUAGGAACUUUAAAAACCAUGUUCAUCUAUGUCUUGUAUGGUAACAUUCUACACAUUAUAAUACUGUAUCUGAGACCCUCCAAAAAAGUCCAUGGAUUUCACGUUUUUGAAAAAGAUACAGUAUUUUUGAUUUUCAGUAGGUAUUUUUGAUUUUCAGUAAAAUAAGGAACAAUAAUAUAAUACAGUAAUAGUUUUUUUAUUAAAAGAGAAAUAAAAUCUUAUUUUUUCUUUAUUCAAGUUGCUUAUGAAUGUUAUAUCUAAAUAGUUUGUAAUUUUAUUUUCUGUAUUAACAUUAAUGUGCCUGAGGUAAGUUUUUUGUCUUGGGCCUAACUUUGUUUAUAAUACUGGUCACUAUCAUAAUACAAAUUUGUUAUCAUUAUUUAUGCAUUUUUUGCAUUUGAUAAAAUAAAUAUAUACAUGAAUUAGAUAUAAA